RNAcentral lists this unclassified non-coding RNA (218 nucleotides) under Hevea brasiliensis (rubber tree). The record is from RNAcentral. Lineage: Eukaryota; Viridiplantae; Streptophyta; Magnoliopsida; Malpighiales; Euphorbiaceae.
AUAAAAUUUAAUCAAAAUUUAUCUUUUUAAUAUUUAUUUUGAUAGCCAUCAAAGUAAAAUUAAUUUUCAAACAAGGAUCUAACCAUCUUUUUUACUAUUUAUUGUUUUAAAAAAAUAACUUUUUUACUAUAAACCAAACAAGAAUUAAUGCAACAAAUCCUACAAAAAGAUAGACACCGAUUUUCAAAAUGAGAUUAUAAAAAGAUAUUUUAUUUUCA